Molecule: long non-coding RNA, 1851 nt
Filed under: Malus domestica (apple)
Lineage: Eukaryota; Viridiplantae; Streptophyta; Magnoliopsida; Rosales; Rosaceae
Description: long non-coding RNA (MDOM_LNC015560)
Source: RNAcentral
UUUUAAUGAACAGUACAGGGCCAUAUUUGCCUCCGUCUCCAACCGAGGGCCAGAGGGCCAAAGGGCUCGUUUUAGCCCUGUCACAAAAAACCGUCUCCAACCGAGGGCCAAAGGGCCAUAGGGCCAAACAUAAUUUAUUAUUUAAAAACUACAAUUUAAAUUCAAAUCUAACGGCUAGGUGACGUCAACAUGAUGUCAGCUAGCCGUUGGUAGCUGACAUCAUGCUGACGUCAACUAGCCGUUGGAUUUGAAUUUUUUUUGCUAUAAAUAGGGUGGAUAUUGGGCUAUAAUUCACACAACUUUAAAUUCAAUCUAUUUCAAUUCAAUCUCUUGCAAUUCAAUCUCUUUCAAUUCAAGUUUGCAAUGAAUUCCAACUUUGGAUCUUCAUCCAAUUCCAAUUGGGGGUCCUCAUCCAAUUCCAAAUUGGAAGCAAAAUGGGCGCAAAUGAGAUGAGAAGAUGAGGAGUCAGAUGAAGAAGUUCAAGUAAGGCGCAACACACAAACAUGGCAGCAGCCAUGGCUGUGGCCAUGGUGUGUCAGCCAACUGAGGAACAACCUCAAUGGGGUGGCUCUGUUGCUGGUCGCUCUUACAAACCAUGAAACAGAGCGAUGGCGCAUGCCAAUCUGAUGAACAACUACUUCAACCCCGACUCGGUGUACACAGAAGAGGAUUUCAGAUGUCGCUUCCGGAUGAGGCGUCAUGUCUUCGAGCGUUUACUUCGUGAUGUCCAGCAGGUCAAUCCAUACUUUCGACAGAAGCGAGACAGAGCAGGCCGCCCUGGUUUCUCACCUCAUCAGAAGGUUACUGUUGCACUCCGAAUGAUGGCAUAUGGCUCCUCAGCUGAUUCGAUGGAUGAAGCCCAUGGUAUGUCUGAGUCUACAUGCCUUGAUACUCUUGAAUAAUUUUGCAACACAAUUGUUCAGGUUUACAAAGACGAGUACCUUCGAGAGCCAAAUCAAGAAGAUCUGAAUCGGCUCCUUCACAAAGCUGAAGACCAUGGGUUUCCGGGCAUGAUAGGAUCAUUAGACUGCAUGCAUUGGGAUUGGAAGAACUGUCCCACUGGAUGGCAAGGAAGCUUUAGCGGAAGGUCGAGAAAGCCAACUGUUGUGUUAGAGGCAGUUGCCUCAUAUGACACAUGGAUCUGGCAUGCUUUCUUUGGAGUCCCUGGAUCCCAAAAUGACAUUACAGUUCUUGGGCGUUCACCCCUCUUCAAUAACUUGACGGAAGGUAAAGCACCUCAACUUGACUACUACAUCAACGGCCGUGAAUACAAUAUGGGGUAUUACUUGGCAGAUGGCAUCUACCCAAAGUGGGCGACACUUGUCCAAGCAAUUCCAAACCCUAGGAAUGAUGCAGAAAAGUUGUUUACCUUACACCAAGAGGCAUACCGGAAAGAUGUUGAGAGAGCUUUCGGUAUUCUACAAGCACGGUGGAAGAUUAUCAGCGAACCGGCAAGAGGGUGGAGUCGAGAAAAUUUGAACUCCAUCAUGAUGUCUUGCAUCAUAUUACACAAUAUGAUAGUGGAGGAUGAGCGAGAUGAGUAUAUUGAUGGAGAGUCCGAUGAUGACCAAGAAGAUCCAAAUAGGUUAAGAAGGGCUCUAGCAAAAAUAUAUGAUGGGCCUAAUUUGCCUUUCAAUCCAAGAACUGGUAGUAUCUCUAUAAAUGAGUAUAUGAGGUGCUAUAGAAUGAUACGUUCUCGUGCCACAAAUACGUACCUACAACAGGAUCUUGUUGCACAUCUUUGGGCCAAAAGAAGCAUGGAGUAGGCUUUUAAGUUUUAUGUUGUUAAAUGUUUUUAAAAAUGUUGUUUAAGUUUCAUGUUGUUAAAUGUUUUUUUAUGUUGUAUAAUUU